GAGUUUGAACCUGGCUCAGGAUGAACGCUGGCGGCGUGCUUAACACAUGCAAGUCGAGCGAAGCACUUUCUCGGAAGUUUUCGGACGGAAGAGGAUUUGACUGAGCGGCGGACGGGUGAGUAACGCGUGGGGAACCUGCCUCAUACAGGGGAAUAACAGAUGGAAACGUCUGCUAAUGCCGCAUAAGCGCACACUGUGGCAUCACAGAGUGUGAAAAACUCCGGUGGUAUGAGAUGGCCCCGCGUCUGAUUAGGCAGUUGGUGGGGUAACGGCCCACCAAACCGACGAUCAGUAGCCGACCUGAGAGGGUGACCGGCCACAUUGGGACUGAGACACGGCCCAAACUCCUACGGGAGGCAGCAGUGGGGAAUAUUGCACAAUGGGGGAAACCCUGAUGCAGCGGCGCCGCGUGGGUGACGAAGUAUUUCGGUAUGUAAAGCCCUAUCAGCAGGGAAGAAGAUGACAGUACCUGACUAAGAAGCUCCGGCUAACUACGUGCCAGCAGCCGCGG
This 511-nucleotide ribosomal RNA is filed under the name uncultured bacterium. RNAcentral describes it as "bacterial SSU rRNA". It matches the Rfam family "Bacterial small subunit ribosomal RNA", at positions 9 to 520 of the family's 1533-position model. The record is from RNAcentral.